AAGACUUGAAAGUGUCCGAUUUCGGGUUUUCUGCUUUGCCUGAGCAGAAAUGGAACGAUGGUUUGCUGCACACACGGUGUGGCACCCCUGCAUAUGUGGCUCCAGAGGUUCUAAGAAAGAAGGGUUAUGAUGGUGCUAAAGCUGACACCUGGUCUUGCGGGGUUAUUCUAUUCGUUCUGCUUUCAGGGCACUUGCCCUUUCGCAAUGAGAACGCCAUGAAGAUGUAUGUGAAGAUUUUAAAGGCUGAAUAUGAGUUCCCACCGUGGAUUUCCAGGGAUGCCAAGAGGUUGAUUUCCAAUCUUCUUGUUGUGGACCCUGAGAAGAGAAUUACAAUCCCUGAGAUCAGGGCAAAUAGUUGGUUCCAGAAAGGUCUUGCUCAAUCUACUGUAUCUCCUAAUGAUUUAGAAGAUACUGAAAACGGAGUUAGAAGUGAAGAUCAAGAGGAAUUUCCAGGAAAAACCGGAUCAAAGCAUUCGCCGCCUUUUUAUAAUGCUUUUGAACUCAUAUCUUCAAUGUCGUCAGGAUUUGAUUUAUCAAGUUUGUUCGAGACCAAGAGAAGAAGGGGUUCGAUGUUCACUUCAAAAUGUCCAGCAUCAAUGAUCCUAUCAACGUUGAAGUCCGUGGCAAAGAAGUUGAACUUUAGAGUGGCAGUGAGUGAUACAGAAUUCAAGGUGAAAUUGCUAGGAAAAGAGGAGGGACGGAAGGGGAAGCUGGCGGUGACAGCAGAGGUGUUUGAGUUGGCUGCCGAGCUUGCGGUGGUCGAGUUAUCCAAGUGCUCCGGUGACACUUUUGAGUACACCAAAUUCUGUGAAGAAGAUGUCAGGCCUGCCCUAAAAGAUAUAGUUUGGAGCUGGCAAGGUGAUAGUAUUGAUUCUCAUGAAGGCCAAGUAGGAACAAGUAAUUAGGAUGGUUAACGGUCGUUAAUUGACAAAAGACCUCAAAAUUAGAACUCUAACGGUCGCUAGUUUUACAUAUUUGCUUGUUUUAGGCUUUAUAAUUGUGCGUUGUGUAAUGUUAUUAAUGCGAAUAUACGGGCAUGUAAUUUGUCUAAACAAGAGAUUAGUAGAGAGGAUUGAUGAUUUUCCCGUACUUAGGUUAUUUUGCUUCUAACUUUCCUUCUCACCAGUUAAUUUGCCCGAAAAAAUGUCUGUUUAAGGAAAUAUGUACUUUUUCUCGGCCAUAAUGAUCUUCUAUAUCUCUCUCCCUCGCGUGGUUUUGAUGGAUUUGUCAAAUGGGUUAUAAAGGGCUUGGAGCUAAACUUGUACCCCUUUGCAACGAUUGGUUGGUCCAUGAUCCAAGAAACCCGAUUUAAAACUCAUCAAAAUUCAAUAACGUUAAAACUAAGAAAUUAAAAAAAAAUACAAAACAACGACAACUAUGCAAAAUAGAAUUCACCUACAACCAUCGGGCUGUUUUCCAAUCACAACAAGGUCUAAAUGCGGAAUUUAAAUAUAGUUGAGCCUAAAAAAGCAUCUCAGAGCAGCUCAAUGGACCUGUUUUUUCUUCCAAAAGGUGGGCUCACAAAUCCUCCUGGAAAGGAUAACAGCGUAUCCAGCUUCCAAUCUUUCCCAUGAAAUCGAAUUGCAUUGAAGGAGAUAUUUGGAGUUGGAACCUAAUACCUCAAUUUCAAAACAUAGUUCUCUUGCUAACUCAUCUAAGGAUCUUGUUGUUUUGUAAAAAGAAAGUAAAUGGCACUUCACGAUUCACGAGUUAACUUGAAUUUUUAAUCAAAUUAUAUUAAAUUAAUUUUUAAUAAUUUUUUUAAGUUUGACCCGUGUCAAGUUCUAGUCAACCUGUGAAAUUAAAUUGCAUUUAAUAAAGAGCUUAGCACAACUAAUCAUAGUACACAGAACCAAUUUGGCUAGGAACUCAGGUUUUUAGUUUAUUGUUUCAAUUGGCAUGGUAACCAGUACUUGGACUAGUAAAUAAUAUUGAUGAUGUUGAUGCCGUAACUUGUGUAUGAUGAGUUGGUGACAUUUGGAAAAAAAAAAAAAAGGAAUAAAUUAAGCUUCAAGAUUUAUUAUAUAUCCACUGCAUUCUAAAUGUAUGGUUGACCGAUGCCAUAAAAAAGAAAGAAAAGAAACCUCAUCCGAUUUAACAUUCCUAAUCUUAAUUACAUGUCAAAAUAAUUAAUUUUAUCGAUUUCAUCCCAAGCUACUCGAUGUUAGGCAAUUUUCCCAUUGAAAUACAUUAAAAAAUACCUCAAGGUUCUUGCAUACAAAGCAAUAUUUCUUAAUUUUUGAUAAAUUUGGGAUGAUACUGAUAAGACUGAUAAUUUGUGAACAAUGAUGAGAAAACAAACAAAUGGGCUAUAUAGUUCUAGAGUAAUUCUACAAUGCUCAAGCUAUAAUUAGAAAGAUAGAGAUAAAAAGGAGGAUAAAGAAAAUAAAAACCUUCAUUCGGCAUUAGAAUAACCAAGCAUAGUCAUUAUUAUUACAUAAUUGAUCCAUCAAAUACAGGCAUAUGAAGUUCUAUUAGAAUCACGAAUACAUAAUCAUUCAGAAUCGGAGAAAGGCAGAUAUACCAUCGAUCCUUCAAACACAGAGACUUUCUUCAGCUGAAGAUUGUCUAACAUGGAAAAGAUGGUUGGAGAGUUUAAUUAUUUGAAACAAGACAGCACUUUGUGAUGGAUCUGUGUCACGCUAAUCCAUUUGGAAAUAAGACAUGACUGUAAACACAGUUUGUGCCAGGGUGAAUAGAAGCAAUACAACAGCAGCUAAAAACGAAAGCAGUGCCCAUGGACUGUUGAAAUAAUCAUGCUUUAGUGUCGCCAUCCAUACAUUGCGCUUCCGAUUGCAAUGCUCCUUCACACCGUCGAAUACUUUAUUAUAACAAAAGUGAGGACGUUGGGAGUGUGUGACAUUUCUGCAUAGGUUAUUGAACAAGGAGCAGACCUUUCCAUCGUCGCCCAACCCAUUUUCAAUAAUUUCCGAGUGUCGAAGUAUCUGCACAUCUUCUUGAGUGCUGAUUAAACAAUCCAUCAGAGUUAUAUAAUCGGUGACGUACAGAUGUUUGCGCGGAGAGCACUGUUCAUAGGUGACAAGAUUUCGGAAUAGCGACUCUGUUCUGUCAUCAAUUUUCAAACGUGGGAUUUCUAUCGUGCCAUUUUCCGAGAAGUCAACAUCAAACAAUAACCUACUUGAUCCCUCUCGCCUUUUGAAUUUAAUGCCAGCUUCUUGCAGCUCUUUGGCAUUGCGUAUGAAAUACCAAUCGAUUUCCUUUGGUGAUUCCGUCGAAUCAGGCGGCUGAUACCCAGUACGAUAUAACAUGUCCAGAAGAUGCUCGCAUUCAUUCUCAGGAAUUCCACGGUUUCCUAAGCCUCGAAAUAUCUGCUGGCAAAAUUUUAAGGCCAUACCAAAGAAGUCUUUUUCGCUCUGCCCAGACGUCAUAGUAAACAACUUCAGAAGAACAAAGAAUGGAAGUUGAUUCUCAAGUAACAUCGUAUCAGUUUCUAUGCAUGAGAGGAUCCAAGGCACUUCGAAAACAGGGUCAUCUUCACCGCUUACUCCUGGACUCUUGUUACACUUGCGAAUAAGCUCAACAAUGAAGCAACCAUCAAGAAGCAACAUUUCAACGAAUUCAUCCUGGCCUAGACUUACGGACUGAUCAUAAAAUUCACGAGCUUUUCCUUCCACCCCACUCAUGGCCUCAACAUAUCUUUCCACGCUACUUUCCCCUCUGCGUUGAAGAAGCUCUUGUAGAUAACGUUUUUUAUGUUCUUCCAUGAUCUUCAAUUUAUCUUUUCCACGAUGAUAAGGGCCGAUGGAGAGGAUUUCCGGCUCAAAUGCCCUUUUGUUUACAUGGCGGAGGCGACUAGGAACCUUGAAAAUACUGCAUGUUGAGUGACUAGAAGGCAAACCUCUGAGCUUUUCGUCGAUUUUAACGUUUAAAGGGUUCCAAGGACUCGUCUCUUUUUCCUGAAAUUAAUGGAUACAAAAAUGUUUUAAAAAAGUCCCAACGAUUCAUCCAAAACUUUAUUUUGAAUGUAAUUAAAAAUGUGCGUGUGUUACUGAUGUCUUUUCUAUGUACGAGAAACAUAUUGAUUAUAAAUUCAAAAUUUGAGGUGAAUAAAAGUUUUAUUUGUUUUUAUAUUUUAAAGAUAGGAGAAAGAGGUUAAUAGAUUUUAGCGGUAAAAAAAAAUACAUGUUGUUAAUAUUGAUUUAGACCACCAAAAUAAAUAAUAUUUGUGUUAAAUGAUUUUAUUUGAUAAGAAAAGUUUAUAUUAUAUAUUUUUUUAUCUUCAAAGUUUUUGGAAAAAUAAAUCUAAACUUGAGUUGAUUUUUUAUUUUGAGUUAAUUUUGGUUUUUGAAGUAUUUGUUUUUUAAUUUUUUUAAGAUAUUGAUAAGUUUAACAUGAUUUUUAAGAUUUUAAUAGGUGUUUUUGGUUAAAUGAAAAAAUAAAUGGAUUAAAAAAUUAGUUUUUAGAUAAAAACACUUAAGCUAUAAUUUUUUGGUAUUUACUGACCAAAUUCUAGGUAAAAAUAAAUGACGCGUUCGUUUGUUUUUUAUCAAAACAAAUUAUCGUCUGCACCAAGAGUAACAAAAAAACAAGGACCUAGGCAUGCGAGCCUGCUAGGAAAAGCCUACAUAUAGACCCUAAGAUAAACAAUAUAGUUUAUUAUUUUUUUCCUCUAGUUUGUUUUUUAUAUACUUUUUUGGUUGUGUCACUGCUUUUAACAAGGAUAAUGUUCUAUAUUCUCAAGGAAGGCGUUUAGCAAGAAGAAGAAGAAGAUAGGGCCUUGAAUACGGACAACAUAAACAAUAUAGAAGAAAAGCAUCAAUAGAUUCAUUUUUUUCAUGUAAUUUGCUAGUAGCAUUGUCACCUUGUUACACCCAUCUUAAUUAUAACUUCAGUGGCACAUGUUUACUCAUGAAAGAUUCUACAGCGCUACUUGUGAGUGGAAUCAUGCAUGGUGAAGGAUUUUUUAGUUCUUACCGGGUUUGACAUUGACGCACAGAAAAAACAAACCAGGUUAUAUAUCAAAUACCUGCAUGUUACAACAAUGGUCAAUCGACUGGUCGAUAAUCAAAUGAUCCUGCUUUUAACAAGGACAAUAUGUUCUAUCACUUACUUGUUCUCAGACCUUGCUCUGCAAUGGAUGAUCUUCUCUAGAGCUCAUGAGAUAUAUAUGCCUUUUAUAAUGAUCAACCCUUGCCAAAAGUCGACAAAGAAAUUAGAAAUGAUAUGUAUUAAUCAGAAAUAGAGUCGCCCUAAUAUGCCAAGAGGACGAAUACUUCAAAGUUGAAGAAUCUUUCGUCUUUGAUCUCUGCAUGCUGGGACAGCUGGUUUCAUGGAAGUGUCCACAUUAGUUUUCCACUGAGAUAUCCAAAAUUCGACGAAGAAAUUAGAAAAAAAUGCUUGCUGAGUGUGGUUCCGCCACUAUGUGUGAUGGUGGUACCACCACAUCUUUUUUUCCGUCUUUCAAAACACAAAUAAUUAGCACUGUAGCAACUGUUCAGUUUUAGCAAAAGAGAGAAAAUAAAAAUGGGAAAAGGAGAAAGAAUAAAGGCAGCAGAACGGUCUCUCUUUUUAUUUUUAGCUCAUUAACCGUUAGAACGGGCUGAUAUUUUAAUAAUUGUUUCUAAACAUGUUAAUUCUCAUUCUAAACAGUUAAAUUGGAUAUUAAUAAUAUAAAAACGACAUGUUAUUUUGCUAGAAAACAAGACUAUCAAUAUUAUGAGUUUUUCUUAAAUAUUUUUUUUUUAAUCUUAUUGUAUUUCAAGAAUAAAUUAUUUUUAAUGAUAUAUAUAUAUAUAUAUUGGAUAUUAAUGAUAUAGAAACUAGUUAUUUUGUUAGAAAUCAAGGCUAUGAGUUUUUCUCAAAUACUUCUCCUUUUAAUCUUAUUGUAUUUCAAGAAUAAAUUAUUCUUAAUGAUAUAUAUAUUGUAGCCCUUAAUUAAAUUUAAGAAAAAACACUUGUAAACCUAUUAUUUGUUAAUAGUGAAAGUUUUUAGAUGGAAUAUGAUCCUUUAGUUUUUCUCACAUCAAGUUUUUUAUGUAAAGAUUUUGGUGUCGAUUUGUAUGUUUGAUUGCAUUAAUUAAAAAAAAAAAGAUUUGGGUUUUGUAAAUUGUGUAUUCAUUGGUGUUAUCGUUAAUUAUCCCUGCAAUUUAUUUAAUCAGAAGUUGAACUAGUCGCCCUGCCAAGGGAAGACGACGAAGACUUCUCAAGUUAAAGAGUCAUAUCACUGUAAGGUGGAAUCCACAAUAAUUUGCCACUGAGAUAUAGAUGCAUUUAUAACUAUCAUGAAUUCUUGCCAAAAUUCAACAAAUAAAUUAGAGUAAUAUGUAUUGAUUAGAAGUAGAAUUAACCAGUCACCCCACCAUGCAAAGAGGACUAAGACUUCUUAAGUUGAAGAGUUUUCGUCCUUGAUCUCUGCGUGGCAGGACAACUGAUGAGUUCUAUGAAGUCGUCGGCAUUCACAUUUUUCAUCUUAAACCUUAUGAUUUCUUGAAUAUGCUUAUUUAUUAUAAUUCUAUUGUGAAAUUGAAGAAAAAAACUCCUAGAAAUCCUAUCAAUUCCUCUCUUUUUCUUUACAAACAUAGAAAAAUAUGUUUAUUAAUAGAGAAAAAAAGGAAUUGAAAUGGUUUUUAUGGGUUUUCUUCUUUAAUUCCUCAAUAGAACCCUAAUACAGAGCCAUUUUAAAAAAAUAUUCACGAUGGUUAAGAUAAAGAAUCAUAAAUAUAUCAUAUAAAUCACCGUUGAAGAUACGGUAUGUUUAUGAAGGCACAUGCCCACAUAGUCCCAGAAAACUUUCUUCCAAGGGACAUAUGUACUUAUCCAGUGAUAUACAAUAUACUUAUAUACAAUCACUUCACAUGGUUACUUUUGUUAAUUACUAUAAAUGUAUUUUUUUCCACUCCCCUUAAAGAGAGCAUUAACAUGUUGAAUGGAUCUAUGAUUUAAAAAUACAAAUGGACUCUCACUUGCCUCUUCCAUUUUAUUUGUUAACAAAUACUCUAAAACGUGUAGAUUUUCAUUGUAAUGUUUUUUUUUUGUUUUCGCUUUUUUUUUUAACAUUAAUAGUUUCUAGGAUUUGACAUGGAUAUGCCGUAUCACACUGCGGAUUUGAUGCUUGAUGUGCAAUUUUUACUUUUAUAUUGGUUUUUGACGGACCUUGAAGAAGAUAGGUUGCUUAUACUCUACUAUCAUAGAGAUUCUUUUCUCUAUAUGUCAAUUCCAAGCCAUCACUAGCUUUCUUCUUAUAAAUGAUUACUAUGGCCAUGUUUGGAUUAUGGUUAAAUAUUAUUGUUAUUUUACUAUUUUUUUAAUAAAAAUUAAACUAAAUUUUUAUAUAUUAAUGUCAAAAAUAAAAUUUAUAAAAUAAAAAAAAUAUUAUUUUAAUAUAUUUUAAAACAUAACUACCAACCUAUUGACCCAGUAAAAUAAAAUAAAAAAUUUAAUUUUUAAUUUUUAAUUGUUUUUUAUUUAAAAAAUAAGUGUUAAUAUUAUUCAAUAACAUUAUUGAUAAAUUAGACAAAGAUCACAAUUCCAAUUUUAUUCCUCAUUAUAUUUUACAUGAUGUUGUUGUGUGCUUAAGAAACUAAGGAAACCGUAGUCUUUGUCGGAUGUAUUUUAUACGUAAUGGAAUUGUAGAUAGUUUAAUAGAACAAUAAAAAAUAUUUUAUAUAAAAUAUUAUUUAUUUCAUGAUAUAAUAGCAGUAGUUAAAUCUACAAUAUUUAAAUUAAAAAUCAUCAAUAUUAAUAUAUAUUUUUUGAAAUCAUUUUACAAUAUCAAUUUGAAGAGCAUUCUUAACUAAACACAUUAAACUAAUUUUUUUAUUCAAUCUCAAUUUCAACUAUAGUUUUAAUCAAAUAUAUAUAAAUACCAAACCAACCUCAACCAAAAAACAUCUUUUAUAAAAUAAUUUUUUAAAAAUCAAAAUCAUAAAAACUACCCUAAUUAAUACAAACCACAAAAGCUACUAUAAUAGUAUGUGGCAUUUCGAUGUCAAAUGGUUUGAUAAACUAUAGGUUGUGACCUAUAAUUAUAACCAACCAGUACUCAUCAGCUGAAGAUGUGGCUUGAUUUGGAUCCGUCUUUCACAAGAAAGAGUAUGCACUGAAGAAAGCAAACGAUCUGGCCAUAUCCUCUCUUUUGUUUUUGGACAUUGAGGCCAUCCGGCAAUGCUCAUCUCAAUUGAAGUUCGGUUUUGGGCUGGUGUAUACGUUGUUUUUUGGUGGCUUCUUAAUUAUGGAGUCCCUUAUUUGUUUCUACCUCUUGAAAAAUACAACUAUAGUUAUGUGAUGACCGUGCUCCGGUCAAGUCUAAAAUAUAUCAUUUGGUGAAAAUGCUUUCGAUAUAUAUAAUGCAGUUCAUAUCUACAGAAGUUCUUCCUUUUUCUUUGCUUAAUUGGACUGGCGAUGCAAAUUUUAGACAAGAUUAAGGAUGAGAACUAAGAUGCUUACUACUCUAGCUAGAGAUCCUAUAACUUACAAGAAACUAAUAAAACUCUAAACUCUAAACAUAAAUUAUUUUGUAAUUAAACAGUUUUUUCCCAGCAAAUGAGAAAAAAAACAUAAAUUAUACCGAUACCUUAUGCUCUUUUAUAUUUCCACGAAUUGUCUUCUCGCUUUCUCGCCUGAGCUUGAAGAGUUCGAACAUGAUAGGUUUCCAACAAAUACCAUCUUAGUUCGAAAUAUGCAUACCUGUAAUAUCAGCCCCUGACAUUACAGUAGUCAAUAUCGUAAUAAACAAUGUAAAUGAAAUAGUAGUUGCUACUUGCCGGCAUUGCAGCUUGGUUUGUGGAUCAUAAUUAUUAAUUAUCGACCUAGUCUAGCGAAUUCGCCAUGUCAAGUUUUACUUCAGAUUGUUUUGAACAUAGAUCAGGUCAAAUUCGAACAAUUUGUUGUGCUGACUUGCAAUCUAGUUCAUCAUAAAUUUGAGUGAGAUUUUGAUUAGGUCAAUUUAAGAUUUUUUUUUAAAAAAACACAAACAAUAUUGUUUUAGAAGAAAAUAAAAAUUGUUGACCCAGGUUCACUCGAUGAUCUAUGAAUUGACCUGAUAACUCAAUGAUUAAGAUCUAAAAUCAAGUUAAAUUGUAAGUUGAGUGUUAAAAAAAAAGCUAAAACAUGAUGGAAAUAUAUUGUAAAUAUACUUUGAAGUACAAUGGAUUCUAAUAGUGAGUUGACUAUUUUACCCUUAAAAAAUCACAAUCGUUUAAGAGGUAAAAUGAUUUUCUCACUUAGUUCGUUUGUUAUUCUAAAAUUAUUUAGGAGAAUCUCUUUAUUUUCAUGAUUUUUGUACAGUAACUCACUUUAUUGCCCUUAAAAAAAACAUUCAACUAUGGUUUAAGGGGCUUUUUUUUAUAUUUCAUGUUUUUUUACUACAGUGUAAUGAUUCUAUUAUCCUUUGAAUUAAAUUUUCAAAAGCUUGCCUACCUAGGCUUAUCUUUCAUUUUAUAUUGUUUUUUUUAUAAUGAUUUUUUAAUUUUUGAUCCUAGGGGUAAUGUAGUAUUUUCAUAAGCAAAAAAAAAAGUUGUGUGAGCUUUGCAAGCGCCAAUCACUCUGCCAUCUUCGAGCAACGUGUGCAACUGAUUUCGAUGGUGAAAAUUAUUCUCAUGUCGUGUCAUUCGAUUCAUCUCAGCUUUCUUUUUCUUCUCACAUAACACGUAUGGUGAACAGACCUCUAAUAAAGCACUGUCGACCUUUUGUUUUUUCCAUUCUUUUCUCUGUACUCCUAGCAUCGGUGCAUCCAACAGUUCUGCUUUUUCCUGUGCAUUGGUGCUUUUAGAAUGCUCAGUAUGAGAGCAAGGCUCUAGCAUUUUUUAAGCAUUAUCCUUUUUAACAGUCCCAGCAUUUCUAGUUGAAGGAGUUCCAUUCCUUGCUAUUGACUUCGGAAUCACAUCAUUACCUUCAAAAACUUCUUUCCGACAAGCAGCAUUUGGUGAUAAUCCCUUGGACAUUAGACCAACAGAAAAAUUAACAUUAAAAAGGAUGCCUAUUUUAAAAAAAGAAAAAAUCGAAAUUGCAGCAAAAGAGCACUGGGCACAAAUGCUACCUUUCAUGUCGCGGCCACACUUCUAUGAGGAAUAAUAAAAAGGUUAUCUCAUCUGUCUCUAAAUAGCAUAUGCAACAGUUAUGAGUUUAUUUUCCUCUUUAUUUUAUUUUAUUCAUUUUGCAUGAAAAGUCUAUCAGUCAUAGAUUGAUAACUGAAAUGUCACUAGUAGGGAAAAACAUCUCAUGUGGUCCCUCUACUUCUCAAAUUUGAUCAAAUCAACCAUGUCCCUUAAAUUAGACCAAAUCAACUCCACUUCCAGUUACGGAUUUCAGAUCCUCCACUUGAUUACAUCAUAACAAGUGGCAUUUAGCUGGCCAUUUAAAUAGUAAUGGAAUUAGAGGAAGGGACUGGCAUCACCUUUACUUAGAAAAAAAGGGUUGAUUUGAUCAAGUUUGAAGUAAAAGGUUUGAUUGAACCAAAUUAAGAAAGUAGGAGGCUGCGUGUGAUUUGUAGCAAAUCACAAGCAGUAUAAGACAGUAAACAGGUUUUGGAUUCUACAAAGCAGAUGAAAGGGAAACCAAAACUUAUUCUUGAAAAUGAAGUCAGAAAUUAUAUUUAGCAAAAGAAGAGAACUCUGGAUCAGUUUUCCAUCUUAGGUAACAGUUUUACAAUUGCAAGACAAGAUCACAAAAAACUCCACUCAAAUCCCAUGCAGUUAUAGACAGGGAUAAGAAUCAUACCAAAGGUUCCCCAGAAUGAUUGAAUAUGGUCUCAUUGAAUUAUUGAAUUAUUAUCAGGGAAAAUCUUCUUGCUCCUUUUAAUUCCUAUAACCAUCUUCAUUAUCUCCUCUAUUUUUUCUUGAAUUACUCUAGUAUAAUAGAGGGGAAAAAAAUUCACCUUUGGACAUACCUGUUAGAGUCUUAUAUGAUGGAAACAGAGCAAGUGGCAGAGGACGAUUGCCAUGUCAGUAAUGGUGCAAGAAAGAUUCUCUUGGGAAAGUACGAGAUGGGGAGGUUGUUAGGACAAGGAACGUUUGCUAAGGUCUACAGAGGGAAGAAUCUUGUGACAAAAGAAAAUGUUGCAAUCAAAGUGUUGCACAAGGAUCAGGUCAAGAGGACAGGAUUAAUGGAGCAAAUCAAGAGAGAAAUCUCAAUUAUGAAUCUUGUGAAGCAUCCAAAUAUAGUGGAGUUGAAAGAAGUGAUGGCUACCAAAUCAAAGGUUUUCUUUGUAAUGGAGUUUGUGAAAGGUGGUGAGUUAUUUGCCAAAAUCAAGAAGGGAGGGCUGGAGGAAGAUCUUGCAAGAAAAUAUUCCCAGCAGUUGAUUUGUGCAGUUGAUUAUUGUCAUAGUCGUGUCGUUUCUCAUCGUGAUUUAAAGCCGGAAAACUUGCUUUUGGAUGACAAAGAAGACUUGAAAGUGUCCGAUUUCGGGUUUUCUGCUUUGCCUGAGCAGAAAUGGAACGAUGGUUUGCUGCACACACGGUGUGGCACCCCUGCAUAUGUGGCUCCAGAGGUUCUAAGAAAGAAGGGUUAUGAUGGUGCUAAAGCUGAUACCUGGUCUUGUGGCGUUAUUCUAUUCGUCCUGCUUUCAGGGCACUUGCCCUUUCGCAAUGAGAACGCCAUGAAGAUGUAUGUGAAGAUUUUAAAGGCUGAAUAUGAGAUCCCACCGUGGAUUUCCAGGGAUGCCAAGAGGUUGAUUUCCAAUCUUCUUGUUGUGGACCCUGAGAAGAGAAUUACAAUCCCUGAGAUCAGGGCAAAUAGUUGGUUCCAAAAAGGUCUUGCUCAAUCUACUGUAUCUCCUAAUGAUUUAGAAGAUACUGAAAACGGAGUUAGAAGUGAAGAUCAAGAGGAAUUUCCAGGAAAAACCGGAUCAAAGCAUUCGCCGCCUUUUUAUAAUGCUUUUGAACUCAUAUCUCCCUCCCUUGCGUGGUUAUGAUGGAUUUGGCAAAUGGGUUAUAAAGGGCUUGGAGCUAAACUUGUACCCCUUUGCAACGAUUGGUUGGUCCAUGAUCCAAGAAACCCGAUUUAAAACUCAUCAAAAUUCAAUUACGUUAAAACUAAGAAAUUAGAAAAAAACGCAAAACAACGACAACUAUGCAAAAUAGAAUUCACCUACAACCAUCGGGCUGUUUUCCAAUCACAACAAGGUCUAAAUGCGGAAUUUAAAUAUAAUUGAGCCUAAGAAAGCAUCUCAGAGCAGCUUACUGGACCUGUUUUUUCUUCCAAAAGGCUAACAGCGUAUCCAGCUUCCAAUCUUUCCCACGAAAUCGAAUUGCAUUGAAGGAGAUAUUUGGAGUCGGAACCUAAAACCUCAAUUUUGAAACAUAGUUAUCUUGCUAUAACUCAUCUAAGGAUAGACAUAAAAAGGGCUUAUAUAGUUCUAGAAAAAUUCUACUUUGCUCAAGCUAUAAUUAGAAUGAUAGACAUAAAAAGGAGGAUAAAGAAAAUAAAAACCUGCAUUCGGCAUAGUCAUAAUUACAUAAUUGAUCCAUCAAAUACAGGCAUAUGAAGUUCUAUUAGAAUCACGAAUGCAUAAUCAUUCAGAAUCGGAGAAAGGCAGAUAUACCAUCGAUCCUUCAAACACAGAGACUUUCUUCAGCUGAAAAUUGUCUAACAUGGAAAAGAUGGUUGGAGAGUUUAAUUAUUUGAAACAAGACAGCACUUUGUGAUGGAUCUGUGUCACGCUAAUCCUUCUGGAAAUAAGACAUGACUGUAAACACAGUUUGUGCCAGGGUGAAUAGAAGCAAUGCAACAGCAGCUAAAAACGAAAGCAGUGCCCAUGGACUGUUGAAAUAAUCAUGCUUCAGUUUCGCCAUCCAUACAUUGCGCUUCCGAUUGCAAUGCUCCUUCACACCGUCGAAUACUUUAUUAUAACAAAAGUAACGACGAUGGGAGGGCACGACAUUUUUGCCUAGGUUAUUGAACAAGGAGCAGACCAUUCCAUCAUCGCCCAACCCAUUUUCAAUAAUUCCCGAGUGUCGAAGUAUCUGCACAUCUUCUUGAGUGCUGAUUAAACAAUCCAUCAGUGCUAUAUAAUCAGCGAACGUACAGUUGUUUGCGCUGAGAGCACUGUUCAUAGGCAACAAGAUUUCGGAACUGCGACUCUGUUCUGUCAAAAAUUUCCAAACAUGGGAUUUCUAUCGUGCCAUUUUCCAAGAAGUCAACAUCAAACAACCUACUUGAUCCCUCUCGCUUUUUGAAUUUAAUGCCAGCUUCUUGCAGCUCUUUGGCAUUGCGUAUGAAAUUCCAAUCGUUGUCCUGUCUGUAGCAAAUUGUCAACAUUUGCAAUUGUCAACAUUUUCUCAACCACCCUCUCCUUUACUCAACCACUAUCAACCACUCUCUCCUUGCUUUUUGAGCACCAUCACUUCUCAUCAAGGUGCUGCAAAAGCUCUCCUAUAAAGACAGAGACGAGAGAGUGCAUAGAGAAGAGAGGAAGUGUAAGUGCAGAGGAAGGUGUGGUGAGUGCAAGUGAUGCAACUGUGAGAGUGAAAAAUACAGAUUCGAGAGAAACACCGAGUGUAGAGAGAAACACUGGGUUUUGGGUAUGUAUUGGGGUUGAGUUUGAGUGUUUGUAUUAUUUCUCCAAAUAUAUACAAUCUGCUGCCUCCGUGGACGUACCCGGUUUUGGGGAACCACGUAAAUCUGUUGUUUGUGUUUUAUUUUGUGUUUGCUUUCGGUCCAGUAUUCACAACAAAUUGGUAUCAGAGCGUUUGGGAAGCUAGAACACUGAAAAAAAACACGUUUUUCAGCUCUCGGUUCGAAGUUGCAGAAUUUUCAAAGUUCUCAGAUCUUGAUUUUGACCAGCUGCCGAGAUUCCUCUCGUCGAUACGAGUCCGGCAAUAUAAAGAUCAUCGAAAUCGGAGUUAAAACGAGCCCUGUAGAGCUCGCCGAAGUUUUGCCGGAAAUCUGCCGGAAAAACCAGACUGCCGGAAUCCUUGCCUGAGAAGACUGCCACGUCAUCCGCCACGUCACCAAACAGUGACAGAAUAUUCUCUUGACAGAAUGAGAAUAUUCCGUUAACAGAGACAGAAUAUUCCGCUAACAGAGACAGAAUAUUCCCUUGACAGUGACAGAAUAUUCUCUUGACAGAAUGAGAAUAUUCCGUUAACAGAGACAGAAUAUUCUCUUGGCAGUGACAGAAUAUUCCCUUGGCUUUGACAGAAUAUUCCUUUCCUGAGUCAACUCGGUCAGAUUGGUUUUUUGGCCAACUCAGUGAUUUUGUAGCUCGUUUUUGGCCGAGUCAAGCUUGUUCCUAGCAUUUUCAACCGUUCCGGACGCAACCGUGGUGUCCGUUUUGUGAAACAGCACACGGAAGUUACUGUUUUGGCUCUUUUGAGCAUAAAAGUGCGUGGUUUAACAAUUUUGGGAGUCCAUUUGUAAUCCAAAGGUGUCAUAAUGGCUGAUGUUCCAGAAGAAAAAUCAGCGGGGAAUGCUAGUAUACCUCCACAAUACAUCCCGGUAUCGAAUACCAAAUUUGAGGUGGAGAAGUUUGACCGGAAAGGUAAUUUUGGCAUGUGGAAAUGUGAAGUUAUGGAUAUGCUUGUCCAAAUGAAUUUGGAUUUCACUCUAGAAGAUAAACCGAGGAUUUGGAUGAGAAAAGCUGGGAGAGGAUAAAUCGGUUAGCUUGCAGUUCCAUCCGACUUUGUCUUGUUAAGGAUCAGAAGUACGCCUUUUCAGAACAAAACUCUGCAAAGGAAUUAUGGCAAGCACUGGAGGACAAGUUUAUGAAGAAGAGUAUAGAGAAUCGUCUCUACUUGAAGAAAAGAAUCUUCCGUUUUCAGCACAAGAAAGGUACUUCCAUGAAUGAGCAUCUGAAUGAUUUCAAUAAAAUGAUAGCUGAUUUGAAGAAUUUAGAUGUGGAAAUAGAUGAUGAAGAUAAAGCUCUGUUAUUAUUGAAUUCACUGCCUGACACAUAUGAACAUCUCGUCACCACUUUACUGUAUGGUAAAGAAAAGAUUAAAUUCAUUGAUGUGUCCAAUGCUUUGGUGAAUAAUGAGUACCGGAAGAAGGACCAGAUUGUUCACAAGGAGUCAACGUCAGAAGCAUUGACAGUUAGAGGCAGAACAAACCCUAGAAGAUUUCGAGGGCGAGGGAGAUCUCGCUCAAAAUCUAGAGGAGAAUCAUCAAACAGGCGAUAUCUUGCAAAAGAUGAGUGUGCCUUUUGUCACAAAAAGGGGCACUGGAAGAAAGAUUGUCCAAUCAAGGGCAAUAAGGAAAAAGAUGAACCAACUGUGAACGUUGCACGAGAAGAAGAUGAACGAGACUCUGCAUUCAUGGUCUCAUCACCAGAAAAACAUUGUGGUGAAUGGAUUCUUGAUUCUGCAUGUUCUUAUCACAUGUCCCCUAACAAGCACUUAUUCUCGAGACUUGAGGAGUUCGAUGGAGGAGUUGUGUUUAUGGGCAAUAAUAAUGUUUCUGAGGUCAAAGGGAUUGGGACUAUCCAUCUGAAGAUGCAUAAUGGGGUAGUCAAGACACUAACAGAGGUACGGUAUGUACCUGACUUGAAGAAAAAUCUCUUCUCACUUGGAGUCCUAGAAUCCAGUGGUUAUAAGAUUAUCAUGCAUGGUGGAGUCCUCAGAGCAAUCCGUGGUGCAUUAGUUGUCUUAAGAGGCACGAGGAUAGGAAACUUAUAUUUCCUAGAUGGAUCUACUGUUACUGGUAUAGCAGCUGUUUCCAAAAGCCUAGAAGAUGCUGAAGCAGAUAAUUCCAGACUUUGGCACAUGCGCUUAGGGCAUGCUGGUGAAAAGGCUUUGCAAGGACUAGUCAAGCAAGGUCUAUUAAAAGGCGCCAAGACUGGGAAGCAUGGGUUCUGUGAGCAUUGUGUUCUUGGAAAACAGACAAGGGUCAAGUUUGGCACUGCAAUACACAACACAAAAGGGAUUCUAGAUUAUGUUCACACAGAUGUAUGGGGACCUUCAAAGAAUGAAUCUCUUGGAGGUAAUCGUUGGUUUGUUACUUUUAUUGAUGAUUUCUCAAGACGAGUAUGGGUGUACAUGAUGAAACACAAGGAUGAGGUCCUUGAUAUCUUUCUGAAAUGGAAGAAAAUGGUGGAGACUCAAACGGGAAGGAGAGUUAAGACUCUUCGGUCAGAUAAUGGUGGUGAGUACACUUCAGAUCCUUUCUUUGAAGUUUGCCAGGAUGAAGGGAUCAAGCGACAUUUUACUGUGCGCAAAACACCACAACAAAAUGGAGUAGCAGAACGCAUGAACCGCACAUUGGUGGAGAAAGUCCGAUGUAUGCUAUCACAUUCGGGACUAAGCAAAGUGUUCUGGGGCGAGGCAUUAAGCUAUGCUCGUCAUAUUGUUAAUCGGUUACCUUCAGCAGCAUUAAAUGGAAGAACCCCCUUGGAGGUAUGGUCAGGCUCUCCUGCAAAUGAUUAUGACUCUAUGCGUAUAUUUGGUUGCUCAGCAUAUUAUCAUGUUACUGAGUCAACUAGAUCCUAGAGCCAAGAAAGCUAUAUUUUUGGGCUUUAGUGGAGGAGUAAAAGGUUACAGACUCUGGUGUUCUGAAUCAAAGAAAGUGAUUUUGAGUAGAGAUGUCACUUUUGAUGAGUCUGGCAUGUUACAGCAGGAGAAAUCACAGGAGAAGGAAAAACAGUCUGGUGAUGCACAACAGGUGGAGUUGGAGACUUCAGUCAUCCCUAUAAAGACUGUUCAGACAAUCCCUACUGAAGGAGAUUCAGAUGAAAGUUCAGAUGAAGAGGAUGCAACAACUCCAGCAACCACACAACAAGAAUCCAUUGCAACGAGUAAACCGAAAAGAGUUAUCAAGAAACCUGCUCGGUAUUGUGACAUGGUGGCUUAUGCACUUCCAGUGAUUGAUGAUGGAAUCCCCUACACCUACAAAGAAGCAGUACAGAGUGUAGAAAGUGCAAAAUGGAAAGAGGCAAUGGAUGAAGAGAUGAAAUCUCUCCACAAGAAUCAGACUUGGGAUUUGGUACAACUCCCUAAGGAAAAGAAGACAAUUGGUUGCAAGUGGGUAUAUGCCAAGAAGGAAGGUAAUCCUGGAAAAGACAACAUCCGAUUCAAAGCAAGAUUGGUAGCAAAAGGCUAUGCUCAGAAGGGGGAUAGAUUAUAAUGAGGUAUUCUCUCCAGUUGUUAAGCAUUCAUCAAUUCGUAUUUUGCUAGCCUUAGUUGCACAAUUUGAUUUGGAGUUAGCCCAACUUGAUGUGAAAACUGCCUUCCUACAUGGAGAUUUGGAAGAGGAAAUUUACAUGUCUCAGCCAGAUGGUUUAAAGUCACUGGGAAAGAGAAUUGGGCUUGUAAACUGAAGAAGUCAUUGUAUGGCUUGAAACAAUCUCCUCGCCAGUGGUAUAAGCGAUUUGAUAAGUUCAUGACAGAACAUGGAUACACACGGAGUCAGUUUGACAACUGUGUAUAUUUUCGCAAACUUCUUGAUGGUUCUUUCAUCUAUUUGCUCUUAUAUGUGGAUGAUAUGUUGAUUGCAUCAAAGAGCAAGGUGGAGAUUGAUAGACUGAAAGCUCAACUGAGAACUGAGUUUGAAAUGAAGGACCUUGGAGAAGCUAAGAAGAUUCUUGGCAUGGAGAUUCAGAGAGACAGAAGAAAAGGCACAGUCUGUUUGACACAGACCCAAUACUUGAAGAAAAUUCUACAGAGAUUUGGGGUAGAUGGUAAGACCAAGCCGGUAAGCACACCUUUAGCUCCUCAUUUUAAGCUAAGUGCUUCAAUGUCUCCACGCACAGAGGAAGAGCGCAAACAUAUGGCUCAAAUUCCGUAUGCAAAUGCAGUUGGUGCAUUAAUGUAUGCAAUGGUUUGUACGAGACCAGAUAUUUCACAUGCUGUCAGUAUGGUGAGCAGGUAUAUGCAUGAUCCGGGAAAGGGUCACUGGCAGGCAGUUAAGUGGAUUCUACGGUACAUUCAUGGCACAACUGAUAUUGGUUUGAAGUUUGAGAGGGAUGAUAGACUCGAACAAAAUUUAGUUGGUUAUGUGGAUUCGGAUUAUGCUGGUGACUUAGACAAGCGUCGUUCCACAACAGGCUAUGUGUUUACACUUGCUAAAGGGCCUGUAAGUUGGAGGUCAACUUUACAAUCAACAGUAGCUUUGUCAACAACUAAGGCAGAGUACAUGGCAGUAACAGAAGCUUUUAAGGAAGCUAUUUGGUUACAUGGGUUGAUUGAAGAUUUGAGAAUUGUUCAAGAGCACGUGGUUGUCCAUUGUGAUAGUCAAAGUGCUAUUUGUCUUGCAAAGAAUCAGGUUCAUCAUUCCCGCACCAAGCACAUCGAUGUUCGUUUUCAUUUUGUUCGAGAAAUUGUGGAUGAAGGGGAUAUUCUGCUACAGAAGAUUGGUACCGCAGAUAAUCCAGCUGACAUGCUCACAAAAUGUGUCUCAGGGAUCAAGUUCCAACAUUGUUUGGACUUGAUCAACAUCUCUUGAUGUUGAGCACCUUCAGGGUGCAGCGCCAUAUGGCGCAUUUGGUGGCAGCAAUGAUUGAUCACGAGGAUUGGAUGGAAAAAUCUUGCCAAGGUGGAGAUUUGUAGCAAAUUGUCAACAUUUGCAAUUGUCAACAUUUUCUCAACCACCCUCUCCUUUACUCAACCACUAUCAACCACUCUCUCCUUGCUUUUUGACCACUAUCACUUCUCAUUAAGGUGCUGCCAAAGCUCUCCUAUAAAGACAGAGACGAGAGAGUGCAUAGAGAAGAGAGGAAGUGUAAGUGCAGAGGAAGGUGUGGUGAGUGCAAGUGAGUGCAACUGUGAGAGUGAAAAAUACAGAUUUGAGAGAAACACCGAGUGUAGAGAGAAACACUGGGUUUUGGGUAUGUAUUGGGGUUGAGUUUGAGUGUUUGUAUUAUUUCUCCAAAUAUAUACAAUCUGCUGCCUCCGUGGACGUACCCGGUUUUGGGGAACCACGUAAAUCUGUUGUUUGUGUUUGCUUUCGGUCCAGUAUGCACAACACUGUCGUGCCCUCGUAACAGGCCGCUGAUACCCAGUACGAUACAUUAUGUCAAGAAGAUGCUUGCAUCCUUUCUCAGGAAUUGUAUGGUUUCCGAAGCCUCGAAGUAUCCGCUGGCAAAAAUUUAAGGCCAUAUCAAAGAAGUCUUCGUUCUGAUCCGCAGAUAUCUUAGCAAACAACUCCAGAAGAACAAAGAAUGGAAGUUGAUUCUCAAGCAACAUCGUAUCAGUUAUUAUGCUUGAGAGGAUCCAAGGCACUUCGAAAACAGGGUCAUCUUCACCGCUUACUCCUGGACUAUUGUUACACUUGCGAAUAAACUCAACAAUGAAGCAACCAUCAAGAAGCAACAUUUCAACGAAUUUAUCCUGGCCUAGACUUACGGACUGAUCAUAAAAUUCACGAGCUUUUCCUUCCACCCCCCUCAUGGCCUCAACAUAUCUUUCCACGCUACUUUCCCCUGUGCGUUGAAGAAGCUCUUGUAGAUACCGUUUUUUAUGUUCUUCCAUCAUCUUCAAUUUAUCUUUUCCACGAUGAUAAGGGCCGAUGGAGAGGAUUUGCGGCUCAAAUGCCCUUUUGUUUACAUGGCGGAGGCGAUUAGGAACCUUGAAAAUACUGCAUGUUGAGUGAUUAGAAGGCAAAUAUUCUCCAAGCUUUUCGUCGAUUUUAACGAUUAAAGGGUCACAACGACUCAUCUCUUUUUCCUGAAAUCAAUGGAUGCAAAAAUGUUUAAAAAAAUGUCCCGACGAUUCAUCUAAAACUUUAUUUUGAAUGUAAUUAAAAAUGUGCGUGUUACUGAUGCCUUUUCUAUAGACAAGAAACAUAUUGAUUAUAAAUUCAAAAUUUGAGGUAUAUAAAAGUUAUAUUUGUUUUUACAUUUCAAUGUGUUUUUGAAACAAUUUAUUUUAUUUUGAAUUAAUAUUUUUUAGGUAUUCUCGGAUCAUUUUGAUAUGUUGAUAUUAAAAAUAUUUUUUUAAAAAUAAAAAAAAUUUAUUUAAAUACAUUUCAUAAUGAAAAACACUUUGAAAAACAACAGUCAUCGCAUUUCCAAACAUUCAAAACUAAAUUUCAUUUUUAAAUAUUAGAUGAUACUAUUUUUUAUUGACUCAAGUCAACUCGUCAAGCAUGUGACUCAGAUUAUAAACCCGACUAUGUUUAAUAAUAUUAUUCUUUUAAAAAUAAAUUUAUUUAAUUAUCUAAUAAUUAAAAUAAAUAUGGUUAAAAAAGUAACAGCCAGACACAAAUUCAGAAAAUAAUUAUGGUAUGUAAAACAAAACGCUUAAUAAUGACUCCUAUAUUCAUAUUAAAAAUAAUAUUGAUAUUUAAUAAAAUAAUAUCUAAAAUCUAUUCUUAUUUAAUUUAAUAAAUUAAUAUUUUAAAUUAAUUAAUUUUUUAAAAAUAAAAUUUAAAAAUAAAACCAAGAAAAAGGAAAAAAAGGAAAAGAGCCAAGUGCACAAGCUUGGGAUGCCCAGCACACCUAACCCUCUAAAAAGGGCCCAAGCACAUGGCCUUCCAAGCCAUGCCCACGUGCUUGGCUUUAAUCAGAAAACUCAGCAGCACUUGAGCUAAGAAGCCUAGACUUGUGCUUGGAAACCCGCACCUCUUUUUUUUCUUCAGUGUUGUUUUUUAUCUAGGCGGAUGAUAUGUCAUUUGUAGUGGCAAGUGAUUUAUUGGCAUCUAAGUGCUGCCUAAAUUCUACCAUCAUUGUGAUGAUUGAAAAAUUAAAAUCAGGUGAUUUAUGGUUUAAAAAUAUAUUUUUUUAAUAUUUUUUUAUUUAAAAAUACCUAUUAAAUAUCAUAAAUUUUUUAAUAAAUACACAUGGGGUUGUGGCCUAGUGGUUGAAGGGACUUGUUUCCUUCCUCCACAUCAGGGUUCAAGCCCCACUUGUGUAUGCAUGUCACCCUCGCGGUGCCUUACAUGCUCACUGGACUUGCAGGAUGUUCAGUGAGCCCGAGGAUUAGUUGUGGUGCGCGCAAGCCGACCCGAACACCCCGGGUUACCAAAAAAAAAAACAAAAAUUAAUAAAUCACUUAUCAACCCCAAAAUUACUCAAGAAAUAAAAAUUAACCGAAUUAAAAAAUCUACACAAACCUAAUUUAUAUUUUCAAACAAUUUUAUAGAUAAAAAGACCCUACCAUUAAACUCCUUUCUUAUCGAUGACUUUCUUAAAAUAAAAACUAAAAAAUAAAAUUAAAAAAAUAAAGUUCUUAAAUGAAAUGAAACUCCAAAAAAAUAAAGGGACUAUAAUAGAAGAAAAAUGAAAAUAUAGGGAUAAAAAAAGAACUUUUGUUGUGCUAAUUUAAGAUUAGCCAUUAUAAUUUUUCUGAGUUUACUUUUGGUCCUAUAUUUUUAAUUGUGUUUUUCUAUAACAAAUUAGUUAUUAAUUUGAUAAAGCAUCCAAUUAAAAAUAACAAAAAAUUAAAAACCAUACGAAUCCACAACGCACUCAGUAUUAUUUUUUUCUCAAAUUUUUUAGUGUUUUUACUAAUUUCCAAGCCUGGAAGUAGCAUUUAUAUUCUUUUGGGUAUCCAUAUAUGAACAAAUAUCACUAUAUAUAUGUGAUUUUUUUUCCCUUUAGGGAGAUGAUCAUUAAGUAUAAAACUAUAAUGCGUGGGUUUUUUUCCGUGCAAAAUUUCAAUACUCAUUUUCUUAUAUAUUAAUGUGAAUGGACAGAGCAAAAUAUUUUAAUUUUUUAAUUUUGUUCCCAAACUUUUUUUCUUAGUGAUUUAGUUUUAAUUCAAAACCAAUUGAUUUUGAUUUCUUAUAAAAUGGUGUGAUUGAAAGAAGAGGGACAAAACAAAAAAGGCACUAAACAUAGGUGGUGUGCCAUAAGUUUUACAAAAGAUACACUUUGAUCCUCAAACUUAAAAAAUAACAGAGAUUAUAAAAUUCUGAUUAUAUUUUGGUAUCAAAGUUAAUUUUUAUUAUUUUUUAGAGUUUGGUUAAGAUAGAGAAAGGUUAAUAGAUUUCAAUGAUAAAGAGACAAAUAUGUUGUUAACACUGAUUUAAACCACCAAAAUAAAUGAUAUUUGUGACAAAUGAUUUCAUUUGAUGAGAGAAGUUCAUAUUGAGUUUUUUUUUUACCUUCAAAGUUCAUGAAAAAAUAAAUCUAAGCUUGAGUUUAUUUUAGUUUUUGGGGUGCUUUUUUAUUUUUUGAGGACAUCGAUAGGUUUAACACAGUUCCUAAGAUUUUAAUAGGUGUUUUUGGUUAAAAAAAAAAACAAAUGGGUUGAAAAAUUAGUUUUUAGGGAAAAAACACUUAAGCUCUUAUUUUUCAGCCAACACUAUAGUGAUCAAAUUCUAGGAAAAAAUAAAUGACGUGCACGUAAUUUGUUUGUUUUCAAAACAAAUUACGGGUCAUCUGCACCAAGAGUAACAAAUAAAAAAGGACCGAGGCACGCGGGCCUACUAGAAAAGGCCUAUAUGCAGGCCUAAUAAAAUGGGUCAGACACACUAUUAUUUUUUUUCUUCUAGUUUGUUUUUUAUUGAUACCUUUUUCUAGCGUGUUUUUUUUAAAAAAAUAAUUUUUAAAUUUAUGUUUCAAUUAAUAUUAAUCAUUUGUUAUUUUUUUAUUUGUUUAUUUAAUUUUGUUUGGAUAGAGAUUUUUAUAAAAAAAAUUAUUUUGUGUGUUUUGAAUUCUUGAAGAGAUUCUGAUUCAUCAUUAAAUUUUUUUAAUAUUUUUUAUAGAUGGAUUUUAUUUUUAAAAAUAUUUUUUUUAUUUUCAGAUAAUAUUUUUAAUAUAUGCAGCUUUGCAUAAUAUUUUUUUUAUUUUGUUCAAUAAAUUUUACAUAUUUGUCUAUUUCUACUAUUAUUUGAUUGAAUAAAAAAAUAUAAACAAAAUUAAUUUAGCAAGCAUAAUUGGGUAAAUGUCGAUUCUUGUGAAAUUAAAUAUCUUAUCUCUUAAUUUUUAAAAUUUUAGUUUUGGUAUUGUAAAUGACUUUUGAUUUAUUUAUCAACACACAUUGUUUUUGAUUGAUUUGAUUAUAUAUAUAUAUAUAAUAAAAAUAUUUUACCUGCAGCGAAGAACUGCUCAUAUAACUAGUUACUUAUAGAAGAAAUGAAAAGGGGAAAAAAUGGAAAGGGCAACUACACCCUCCAGUCCCCCUUGGUUGUGUCACUGCUUUUAACAAGGAUAAUGUUCUAUUCUCAAGGACGACGUUUAGCAACAAGAAGAAGAAGAAGAAGAAGGAAAUAGGGUAUUGAAUUCGGACAACAUAAACAAUAUAGAAGAAAAGCAUCAAUAGAUUCAUUUUUUGACAAAUAAAAAGAAUUAAAAAGUAAAUGUCUCUUUGAACAUUGAGUUAAUUACACCUUUGAGAGAAGUUGUAUUUACCUUAGGAGUUGUGAUAUUAGUUUUUUUUUCAUGUAAUUUGCUAGUAGCAUUGUCACCUUGUUACACCCAUCUUAAUAACUUCAGUGGCACAUGUUUACUCAUGAAAGAUGUUGGGUUUUGUUGAGAGAAGCAUAUGUAUAUAAUCUCCAUAGGAAUAAUUAUCUCUCCAUUCAAGAUCCUAUCGAAUCGUAAAAACAAUAAUAUUCUACAGCGCUACUUGUGAGUGGAAUCAUGCAUGGUGAAGGAUUUUUUAGUACUUACCAGGUUUGAUAUUGACGCACAGAAAGCUCAAACCUUGCUCUGCAAUGGAUCUUCUCUAGAGCUGGGAUAUAUAGAUUCUUUUUGUAACUAUCAACCCUUACCAAAAGUCGACAAAGAAAUUAGAAUGAUAUGUAGAUCAGAAAUAGAACUAGUCGCCCUACUAUGCCAAGAGGACGAAGACUUCAUAAGCUGAAGAGUCUUCGUCUUUAAUCUCUGCAUGCUAUACAAUGAUCACUUCACAUGGUUACUAUACAAUGAUCACUUUACAUGGUUACUUUUGUUAAUUACUAGAUAUUUAUUUCUUUUCCACUCCCCUAAAAGUGACCAUUAACUGUUGAAUGGAUCGAUGAUUUAAAAAUAGAAAUGGACCCUCACUUGCCCCUCCCAUUUUAUUUAUUACUCUCUACACUUGGAUGUCAGAUAUAUAUUUUAUUAGAUUUUUAUGUCAAAACAUUCUAGGUUAUUUAUGUUUUUAAAAUUUUUAAACCUGGUUCUGCCUGGUCAUUUGACUCGGAAAAUCUGAAACCUAGAGUGCGACCUGAGAGAAGGGUUUCUAACUGAGUAAAAAAAAACAAAUAUUAUUCUGGUGAAACCUGAUUGACUUUAUAGUAUUUUGAACCCAAUAUUGAAACAACAAUUCAAAAACCCUUUCCUGAAUCAGAUCAGGAUUGACUGCUACAGUUCUGCUAUUCUCUCAAAUUGCAUUGCAUCCUAUUGCUUGUAGCCAAAUUAUGGCAGAUGUUUCCUGUCGGUCCCCCAAACACUGGUUUUAUCUCACUGUUUAUGCCAUGUUAUUGAGAGCCGCAAGCGUCCUCUAUCCUCCAGUAAAAAUGAAGAAAAGUAAUCCCCUUGCUCGGCAAUAAUGACGUCAACAUAAUGAAUAUAUCAGGGACUGCUGUCAUCAUAUUAUUGGUUGGUAAUCUUGCCCCACUAGAUGAUUUAAUUAUAGGUAUUUAAACUAGUGGCAACUUCUUACACGAUUCUUGAUCCCGUGUUUUUUGUCAGCAUCAUUACCUGGGACGUGGUUUUUUUUGUUGAAUAACUUUCCAAUUAACUUAAUCCACAGGAAUGAACUUUAUUUUAUAUGUCUUCGAGCAGAUAUGUCUUCUGCUUUGUCUUGUGAUUGGUUCCUGCAUGAAUUGGCUUGGUUUCAAGAAUUAUUGUCUCUCCACGCAUGACUUGAUCACUAGUUAGUGUAUCUCAUCAAGAGGUUAACCCAUCCCCCAUCAUUUCACACGCUUUUGCACGACAAAGACAUUGUAUACUUCAUUAUAUUGGACUACUCAAUCAACCAUUUCCAUGAUGUAAUGCAAUCCCUCCUAACCGUGGCACGCUAUUAUUCUGAUGUUCAUCUGGAAAAGAAAAGGAUAAGGAUCGUUGCCUGUUGAUGGAUAACUCUUGCACUCAAACCACUUUCGAAGUCUCUGGUGUGUGGAGCAAAAUCUUUUCUUGUUUCUUUCUUCUGUAAAAUCCUGGAUUGGCCAACAUUUGUUGUCUACCUUAUCUUAAAUCCUGGACUGUCAUUUCUGGGGAGUAAAUGACAGUUGAAUAUUCAAUCUCUUUUUUAUCACGUAGUGCAUAAUGAUAAGGUUUGUCAAGAUAGGAAACUCUAAUCUCAUGAAUUCUAAAUAUGAAUAGUGAUAAUCUCCUAAUCUACUAUAAGAAAAUAAUCUUAGAUAUUUAUACUAAAUCUAAAUUCUUAUAAAAAUAAAUUCUUAAUUGAAAAGUUAUAUAACCAAUAAAUCUCAUCUACCAUUAGAAUUAUUAAACUAAACAAAUCCUAAAAAAUCUUGACAAUUAAACAAAUAAUUAUAUAGAAAUCCACGCAAUCUUGUGACGAUGCAACCUUCGCAAAUAAACGGUGGCAUCUUGUCCUGCUCAAAAAUGGAAAUCAUUUCCCUUCUUGGAUUUUCCGUUUAGCAUAUAGCUCGAUUCCAUACCGUAAAAUACUUUGUGCAUACUUGGAAGUAUCUUUCCUCCGAUUUGAUGUCCUUAUAUUGUCAUCUCUGCAUCUAUACCGACAUUCAAUUGCCUAGACUAGAAGGUUCACUAUGUAGACGAAUCAAUAUAAUAUGGUCGACACUACUUCUAUGCUUCCAGCCUCUUAUUGGCCAUAUAUUUUCUCUGUAGAUGAUGUAGAUUCCCUAAUCUUUCACCGUCUCCGGCUCUCCAGCCUCUUAUUGAACUUUAGAGUGGCAGUGAGUGAUACAGAAUUCAAGGUGAAAUUGCUAGGAAAAGAGGAGGGACGGAAGGGGAAGCUGGCGGUGACAGCAGAGGUGUUUGAGUUGGCUGCCGAGCUUGCGGUGGUCGAGUUAUCCAAGUGCUCCGGUGACACUUUUGAGUACACCAAAUUCUGUGAAGAAGAUGUCAGGCCUGCCCUAAAAGAUAUAGUUUGGAGCUGGCAAGGUGAUAAUAUUGAUUCUCAUGAAGGCCAAGUAGGAACAAGUAAUUAGGAUGGUUAAUGGUCGUUAAUUGACAAAAAACCUCAAAAUUAGAACUCUAACGGUCGCUAGUUUUACAUAUUUGCUUGUUUUAGGCUUUAUAAUUGUGUGUUGUGUAAUGUUAUUAAUGCGAAUAUACGGGCAUGUAAUUUGUCUAAACAAGAGAUUGGUAGAGAGGAUUGAUGAUUUUCCCGUACUUGGGUUAGUUUGCUUCUAGCUUUCCUUCUCAUUGUUGAUAUGGAUAUCAAAAAUAAUUUGUAAUUUUUCCCAAACAUGCUCGAAAGAAGGUCUGUUUCAGGAAAUUUGUACGUUUUCUCGGCCAUAAUGAUCUUCUUUAUCUCUCUCCCUUGCGUGGUUAUGAUGGAUUUGUCAAAUGGGUUAUAAAGGGCUUGGAGCUAAACUUGUACCCCUUUGCAACGAUUGGUUGGUCCAUGAUCCAAGAAACCCGAUUUAAAACUCAUCAAAAUUCAAUAACGUUAAAACUAAGAAAUUAAAAAAAAAAAGCAAAACAACGACAACUAUGCAAAAUAGAAUUCACCUACAACUAUCGGACUGUUUUCCGAUCACAACAUGGUCUAAAUGCGGAAUUUAAGUAUAGUUGAGCCUAAGAAAGCAUCUCAGAGCAGCUCAAUGGACCUGUUUUUUCCUCCAAAAGGUGGGCUCACAAAUCCUCCUGGAAAGGAUAACAGCGUCUCCAGCUUCCAAUCUUUCCCACGAAAUCGAAUUGCAUUGAAGGAGAUAUUUGGAGUUGGAACCUAAAACCUCAAUUAUGAAACAUAGUUCUUUUGCUAACUCAUCCUGUUCUUUUGCUAACGUACGGUGGGGGGGGGCGAUUUUUGUGAACAGUGAGGCAAAACAGGGGGGAGAUUUCUAAAGAGAUGCACUAUCAGUGUAGAAAAUGAUGCUGAUCUUCAAGGCUGCUGAUCAAGGUGCGGAUGCAGAGAGGUUUGCCACUGCUGCUGGAAUGGUUGAAGAUGAGAUAAAGGCUGACGGUGCUGCUGCUGAAGCUGUUGGUCUGGCUGAUUCCCUUGCCGCUGUUCACAAUGUUGCUGCUGUGACCGGAGUCUCUUGAUGGGAACAAGAAAAACGAAGCUACUGUGAACAAAGAAGGAAAGGGAGUGGACGUUGCUUGGAUGUUGGACAUGACUGAUGCUGAAAAACCUCUGCUGCUUCUCACGACAGGCAGAGGAGAAGCUGGCAUUACUAAGAAGACUUCUGCUCAGGGUCUAGAAGACUGGCAGCUGUGAAGGAGAGAAGGCUUCUUGUUUUUAUUGGAGAGAGGAAAGUCUUGUUUCUGUGAUGGGUAUUUAUGAGAGAAAUGGGUAAUUGGGUGUGGCUUUUUCUGGGUUUAAACCAACACUAUUACAGGCCUGCUUGCUAAGAUGGUUUGACUAUGUUUAAAAUUUGGGUUCAAACUAUGUUUGUUAUUUAACGAGUAUGUUUACUUGUUUAAUUCGGUCUAGCAUGUUUAUGUUUGUAAUUUGAACUAAUAUGUAUGUAUAUGACAUCGAAACUUAAUAUUUAUGCAUGACUAUGUUUGAUGUUAGAUAUUUAUAUUUAUAUCUUGAUGUUUAUUUGAUAUAUAUUAAAGGGAUAUUAAAGAGAUAAUUGUCUUUACCUGUACAAAAAAAAUAUUUAUCCAAAAAACCCAUAAAAAUAUUUUUGUAUGUAUUUAUCUUUUAAAAAAUUCUUCAUACAAAAAAAAAAAAACCCAAAUAUAUAACUCUUACCAUAAACUAAUUUGGCUUUCUUCAUAUGAAAAAAAAAAACUUAUUUUAAGAUUUUAAAAUUAAAAAAAAUAUAUUAAUAGGUUUUACGUAAAAAAAUAUUUCACAAGCUUAUUUCUCUAUAAUAUGAUAUGACAUAUAUAGUUAUAUUUUAUAAAAUAAGCUAUGUAUGAAUAUAGGAUAUAAUAAUAAAAAUUCAUCAUUAUACUUUUUAGAUUUCAUUUUUUUUUAUUGUAAGUGAUUAAAUAUUAUAUUAGAUAAACUUGAAAAAAAAAUUAAUUCAUUAAUAAAUUAUUUUCCAGUUUAUUUUUCAUAACACUACCAAACAUCGAAAAAUACUUUUUCGGAAUUCACUUUCCAGAAAUUUACUUUUCUCGAAAUUUACUUUCCAAAAAAAAAUAAUUUUCCUGCAAACAAAUGGAGCCUUAAAUAGUUUUUUUAAGUUUAACCCCUGUCAAGUUCUACUUGAUCCAUCAAUCAGAUCAAAUUGCAUUUAAUAAAGAGAUUAGCACAACUAAUCAUAGUACACAGAACCAAUUUGGCUAGGGCCUCAUGUUUUUAGUUUAUUGGUUCAAUUAGCAUGUUAACCAGUAGAUGAACUAGUAAAUAAUGUUUAUAUACUAUUACGAGUUUCAGUUUCAGAUUGUUGUUUUUUUUCUGACCCUUCCCCUCUUCUUUCUUAGACCUUAGCAUCUUAAUUUUUUAUGAUAGCUAGUCAAGUUUCAAAUUCAAGGGAAGCCAGCAGAGAUGAUGUUGAUGCCAUAGCUUGUGUAUGGUGAGUUGGUGACAUUCAGGAAAAAAGAAAAAAAGAAAAGAAAAGAGGAAUAAAUUAAGCUUCAAGAUUUAUUAUAUAUCCACUGCAUUCUAAAUGUAUGCUCGACCGAUGGCAUAUAAAAGAAAGAAAAGGAACCUCAUCCUUGACAUUCCUAAUCUCAAUUACAUCUCAGAAUAAUUAAUUUUAUCGAUUUCAUCCCAAAGCUACUCGAUGUUGGGCAAUUUCCCCAUUGAAGAACUAAAAUACAUUCAAAAAUACCCGAAGGUUCUUGCAUACAAAGCAAUAUUUCAUAAUUUUUGAUAACUUUGGGAUGAUAUUGAUAAGACUGAUAAUUUGUGAAAAUAAAGAUCACACAAUACAUUAAGAACAAUGAUGAGAAAACAAACAAGUGGGCUAUAUAGUUCUAGAGAAAUUCUACAUUGCUCAAGCUAUAAUUAGAAAGAUAGAGAUAAAAAGGAGGAUAAAGAAAAUAAAAACCUUCAUUCGGCAUUACAAUAACCAAGCAUAGUCAUUAUUACAUAAUUGAUCCAUCAAAAUACAGGCAUAUGAAGUUCUAUUCGAAUCACGAAUACAUAAUCAUUCAGAAUCGGAGAAAGGCAGAUAUACCAUCGAUCCUUCAAACACACAGACUUUCUUCAGCUGAAGAUUGUCUAACAUGGAAAAGAUGGUUGGGGAGUUUAAUUAUUUGAAACAAGACAGCACUUUGUGAUGGAUCUGUGUCACGCUAAUCCUUCUGGAAAUAAGACAUGACUGUAAACACAGUUUGCACCAGGGUGAAUAGAAGCAAUGCAACAGCAGCUAAAAACGAAAGCAGUGCCCAUGGACUGUUGAAAUAAUCACGCUUCAGUAUCGCCAUCCAUACAUUGCACUUACGCCUCCGUAUCUGCAUCCAUAAAUUGCGCUGCCGAUGGCAAUGCGUCGUCACACCGUCGAAUACUUUAUGAUAACAAAAGUCAAGAGGAUCGGAGCGUAUGACAUUUUUGCAUAGGUUAUUGAACAAGGAGCAGACCAUUCCAUCAUCGCCCAACCCAUUUACAAUAAUUCCCGAGUGUCGAAGUAUCUGCACAUCUUCUUGAGUGUUGAUUAAGCAAUCCAUCAGUAUUGUAUAAUCAGUAACGUACUGAGGUAUGCACCCAUAGCACUGUUCAUAGGCAACAAGAUUUCGGAAUAGCGACUCUGUUCUGUCAUCAAUUUUCAAACAUGGGAUUUCUAUCGUGUCAUUUUCCGGGAAGUCAACAUCAAACAACCUCCAUGAUCCCUUUCGCUUUUUGAAUUUAAUGCCAGCUUCUUGCAGCUCUUUGGCAUUGCGUAUGAAAUUCCUAUCGUUGUCGUUUGGUGAUCCACUCGAAUCAGGCAGCUGAUUAUAAUAUAGCAUGUCCAGAAGAUGCUUGUAUCGAUUCUGGCGAUCAAUUGUAUGGUUUCCUAUGCCUGGAAAUAUCUGCAGGCAAAAACUUAAGGCCAUACCAAAUAAGUCUUUUUCGUUCUGCUCAGACGUCAUAGUAAACAACUCCCGAAGAACAAAGAAUGGAAGUUGAUUUUCAAGUAACAACAUAUCAGUUUUUAUGCAUGAGAGGAUCCAAGGCACUUCGAAAACAGGGUCAUUUACUCCUGGAAUAUUGUACUUGCGAAUAAGCUCAACAAUGAAGCAACCAUCAAGAAGCAACAUUUCAACAAAUUCAUCCUGGCCUAGACUUACGGACUGAUCAUAAUAUUUACGAGCUUCUGCUUCCACCCGACUCAUGGCCUCAACAUAUCUUUCCACGCUACUUUCCCCUCUGCGUUGAAGAAGCUCUUGUAGAUAACGUUUUUUAUGUUCUUCCAUCAUCUUCAAUUUAUCUUUUCCACGAUGAUAAGGGCCGAUGGAGAGGAUUUCCGGCUCAAAUGCCCUUUCGUUUACAUGGCGGAGGCGACUAGGAACCUUGAAAAUACUGCAUGUUGAGUGAUUACAAGGCGCUCUAAGUUUUUCGUCGAUUUUAACGAUUAAAGGGUCCCAAAGACUCAUCUCUUUUACCUGAAAUUAAUCGAUACAAAAAUGUUUUAAAAAAGUCCCAACGAUUCAUCCAAAACUUUAUUUUGAGUAUAAUUAAAAAUGUGCGUGUUACUGAUGUCUUCUCUAUAGACAAGAAACAUAUUGAUUAUAAAUUCAAAAGUUGAGGUAUAUAAAAGUUGUAUUUGUUUUUAUUUUUUAAAGUGUUUUUGAAAUAAUUUAAUUUAUUUUAUUUUUUAAAAAAUUAAUAUUUUUUUAGGUAUUCUCAGAUCAUUUUAAUAUAUUUAUAUUAAAAAUAAUUUUAAAAAAUAAAAAAAAUAUUUAAAUACAUUUCGUAGUGAAAAAUACUUUGAAAAGUAACAAUCAUCGCAAUUCCAAACACCCAAAACUAAAUUUCAUUUUUAAAUUUUAGAUGAUAAUAUUUUUUAUUAACUCGAGUCAACUCGUCAAGCAUGUGACUCAGAUUAUAAACCCGAUUAUAUUUAAUAAUAUUAUUUUUUAAAAAUAAUUUUUUUUUCAUUAUAUGAUAAUUAAAAUAAAUACCAUAAAAAAACAAUUGUAAAAUUUGUUUUAAGAAAAUAAUGAUUGUAUGUAAAACAAAACGCUUAAUAAUGACUCCUAUACUCAUCUUAAAAAAAAAUAAAAAAAAUUAUUGAUAUUUAAUAAAAUAAUAUCUAAAAUCUAUUCUUAUUAAUUUAAUAAACUAAUAUUUUAAAUUAAUUAAAUUUUUUUUAAAAUGAAAUUAAAAAAAAAACAAGAAAAAGUAAAAAAAAGGAAAAGGAGCCGUGCACAAGGUUAGGUUGCCCAGCACACUUAACCCUCUGAAAAGGGCCCAAGCACAUGGCCUUCCUAGCCGAAAAUAAUUUUUAUUUGCACUUAAAGUUUCUAAACUACAAAAAUAUAUUGAAAAAACUUGUAUAUAUAUAUUUUUUAUAAAAAAUAAAAAUAUCUUACCUGCAGCGAAGAAUGGCUCAUAUAACUAGUUACUUAUAGAAGAAAUGAAAAGGGGAAAAAAUGGAAAGGGCAACUACACCCUCCAGUCCCCUUUGGUUGUGUCACUGCUUUUAACAAGGAUAAUGUUCUAUUCUCAUGGACGACGUUUAGCAAGAAGAAGAAGAAGGAAAUAGGGUCUUGAAUUCGGACAACAUAAACAAUAUAGAAGAAAAGCAUCAAUAGAUUCAUUUUUUGACAAAUAAAAAGAAUUAAAAAGUAAAUGUCUCUUUGAACAUUAAGUUAAUUACACCAUUGAGAGAAGUUGUGUUUACCUUAGGAGUUGUGAUAUUAGUUUUUUUCAUGUAAUUUGCUAGUAGCAUUGUCACCUUGUUACACCCAUCUUAAUAACUUCAGUGGCACAUGUUUACUCAUGAAAGAUGUUGGGUUUUGUUGAGAGAAGCAUAUGUAUAUAAUUUCCAUAGGAAUAAUUAUCUCUCCAUUCAAGAUCCUAUCGAAUCGUAAAAACAAUAAUAUUCUACAGCGCUACUUGUGAGUGGAAUCAUGCAUGGUGAAGGAUUUUUUAGUACGUACCGGGUUUGACAUUGACGCACAGAAAGCUCAAACCUUGCUCUGCAAUGGAUCUUCUCUAGAGCUGGGAUAUAUAGAUUAUUUUUAUAACUAUCAACCCUUACCAAAAGUCGACAAAGAAAUUAGAAUGAUAUGUAUUGAUGAGAAAUAGAACUAGUCGCCCUACUAUGCCAAGAGGACGAAGACUUCAUAAGUUGAAGAGUCUUCGUCUUUAAUCUCUGCAUGCUGGGACAGCUAGUUCCAUGGAAGUGUCCACAUCAGUUUUCGGCUGAGAUAUCGAUGUUUUUUUUUUUUUAACUAUCCAUCCACAUCAAAAUUCGACAAAGAAAUUAGAAAUACAUGUAUAUUGUGUGGUACCGCAAGUGAUGGUGGGAUCAUAAUAUUUAAUUGGCAACCACCACAUUUAAUUGGCAAAUGACAGCAGCUUGCCUCUUUAAGAACACAGGUAAUUAGCACUGUAGCAACUGGACAGCUUUAGCAAAAUAGAGAAGAUAAAAAAGGGAAAAAAAGAAGAGGAAAGGUAGCAUAAUAGUCUCUCUUCUAAUAUUUUCAUUAACAGUUGUAUCGGUUUGAGAUUUUAACAGCGGCUUAUAAACAUGUUAAUCUUAAUUCUAGAUGGUUAGAUUGAAUAUUAAUGAUGUAAAAACUGAUUAUUUUAUCAAAAAUCAGGAUUAUUAGUAUUAUUAGUUUUUCUCAAACACUUCUCCCUUUAAUCUUGUUGUAUUCCAAAAAUAAAUUGUUCUUAAUGAUAUAUAUGUUGUAGUCCUUAGUUAAAUUUUAAAAAAAAAAACCACUUGUGAACCUAUUAUUUGUUGAUAGUGAAAGUUUUUAGGUAGACUACAGUCUUAAAAAAAUUAGAAAUACAUGUAUGUUGUGUGGUACCUCAACAUGUGAUGGUGGAAUCACCAUAUUUAAUUGGCAACCACCACAUUUAAUUAGCGAGGGACGGCAACUUGCCUCUUUAAGAACACAAAUAAGUAGCACUGUAGCAACGAGACAGCUUUAGCAAAAUAAAAAAGAUAAAAAAGGGAAAAAGAGAAGAAGAAAGGUAGCAUAACAGUCUUUCUUCUAUUUUCAUUAACAGUUGUAUCGGGUUGAGAUUUUGACAGCGGCUUAUAAACAUGUUAAUCUUCAUUUUAGAUGGUUAGAUUGAAUAUUAAUGAUGUAAAAACUGAUUAUUUUAUCAAAAAUCAGGAUUAUUAGUAUUAUGAGUUUUUCUCAAACACUUCUCCCUUUAAUUUUGUUGUAUUCCAAAAAUAUAUUGUUCUUAAUGAUAUAUAUGUUGUAGCCCUAAGUUAAAUUUUUUUAAAAAAAAACACUUGUGAACUUAUUAUUUGUUGAUAGUUAAAGUUUUUAGGUGGACUACGGUCCUGUAGUUUUUCUCGUAUCAUGUUUUCUAUGUAAAGAUUUUUGUGUUGAUUUGUAUGUUUGAUUGCAUUAAUUAUUGAUGAGGUAAUUCUAAUUUUAAUUGGGAAAAAAAAAGAAUUGGUAUUUAUAAAUUGUGUAUUCUACUAUAUUGGUGUUGUCGAUACUUUUCCAACAAUGUAUUAAUAAGAAGUAGAACUAGUCGCCCUCCCAUGCAAAGACUACGAAGACUACUCAAGUUAAAGAGGUAUAUCACUGUAAGGUGGAAUCCACAAUAAUUUGCCACUGAGAUAUAGAUGCAUUUAUAACUAUCAUGAAUCCUUUCCAAAAUUCAACAAAUAAAUUAGAGUAAUAUGUAUUCAUUAGAAGUAUAAUUAACUAGUCACCCCGCCAUGAAAAUUAAGAGGACGAAGACUUCUUAAGUUGAAGAGUCUUCGUCCUUGAUCUCUGCAUGGCGGGACAAACUGCGUUCUAUGGAGCCGUCGGUAUCCACAUUUUUCAUCUUAAACCAUAUGAUUUCUUGAAUAUGCUUAUUUAUUAUAAUUCUAUUGGGAAAUUGAAGAAAAAAACUCAUAGAAAUCCUAUCAAUUCCUCUUUUUUUCUCUACAAACUUAGAAAAAUAUGUUUAUUAAUUGAAAAAAAAAGAAUUGAAAUGACUUUUAUGGGUUUUCUUCUUUAAUUUCUCAAUAUAUAGAACCCUAAUACAGAGCCAUAUUAAAAAAAAAUCAUGAUGAUUAAGAUAAAGAAUCAUAAAUAUAUCAUAUAAAUCACCGUUGAAGAUACGGUGUGUCUAUGAAAGCACAUGACCACACAGUCCCAGAAAACUUUCUUCCAAAGGGCAUAUGUACUUAUGUAGUGGUAUACAAUAUACUUAUAUACAAUCACUUUACAUGGUUAAUUACUAUAAAUGUAUUUCUUUUCCACUCCCCUAAAAGAGAGAGCAUCAACAUGUUGAAUGGAUCUAUGAUUUAAAAAUACAAAUGGACCCUCACUUGCCACUCCCAUUUUAUUUAUUACUCUCUACACUUGGAUGUCAGAUAUAUUUUAUUAGAUUUUUAUGUUAAAAAAUUCUAGGUUAUCUAUGUUUGUUAAAUUUUUGGAUUAUUUUUAACAUUCAGUGCCUUUAAGGGUAAGAAAAUUCACGAUCCUGCAGAGAUUUGAAUGGUGAGAUUUCCUUACAGGUGACGGUUGAAGCAAAAUGUUGAAGCCAAACAUUUGGUAAAUAAAAAAUCAGCAAUUAUUAUUCAUGGAUCCUAUUAUUUACUGCAUUGCAAACACAGGGUUGCAAACACAGGGUUAGAAGAAGCAAUUCACAAUCCUACUUGUUUCAGUAAAUAAGUGAGCUCUCAUUCUUUACGAGCUCUGCCCAUCAUAAUAAAUUAAUUUAUACCCAGAUAAAGUAAUUUGUUAUGCUCUACUAUCAUAGAGAUUCUUUUCUCUAUAUACCAAUUCCAAGACAUCACUAACUUUCUUCUUAUAAAUGAUGACUAUGGCCAUGUUUGGAUUAUGGUUAAAUAUUAUCGUUAUUUUGUUAUUUUUUUAAAUAAAAAUUAAAUUAAAUUUUUAUAUAUUAAUGUCAAAAAUAAAAUUUAUAAAAUAAAAAAAUAUUAUUUUAAUAUAUUUUAAAACAUAACUACCAACUUAUCUAACCAGUAAAAUAAAAUAAAAAAUUUAAUUUUUAAUUGUGUUUUAUUUAAAAAAUUAGUGUUCAACAUUAUUCAAUAACACUAUUGAUAAAUUAGAUGGAGAUCACAAUCCCAAUUUUAUUCAUGAUGAUAUUUUACCUGAUGUUGUUGUACUCUUAAAAAAUUAAGGAAACUGUAGUCCUUGUCGGAUGUGUUUCAUACGUGAUGGAACUGUAGAUAGUUUAAUAGAACAAUAAAAAAUAUUUUAUAUAAAAUAUUAUUUAUUUCAUGAUGUAAUAGCAGUAGUUAAAUCUACAAUAUUUAAAUUAAAACCCAUCAAUAUUAAUAUAUAUUUUUUGAAAUUAUUUUACAACCUCAAUUUAAAAGGCAUUCUUAACCAAAUAUAUUAAACUAUUUUUUUAAUAUCAAUUUCAAUCACAGUUUUAACAAAUAUAUAUAAAUACCAAACCAACCUCAACCAAAAAUCUUUUAUAAAAUAAUUUUUUUAAAUCAAUCACAAAAACUACCAUAAUACAAACCACAAAAGCUAUAGUAUGUGGCAUUUCGAUGUCAAAUGGUUUGAUAAACUAUAGGCUGUGACCUAUAAUUAUAACCAACCAGUACUCAUCAGCUGAAGAUGUGGCUUGAUUUGGAUCCGUCUUUCACAAGAAAGAGCAUGCACUGAAGAAAGCAACACGAUCUGGCCAUGUCCUCUCUUUCUUCUUUGGACAUUGAGGCCAUCCGGCAAUGCUCAUCUCAACUGAAGUUCGGAUUUGGGCUGUUGUAUACGUUGUUUUCUGGUGGCUUCUUAAUUAUGGAGUCCCUUAUUUGUUUCUACCUCUUGGAAAAUACAACUGUAGUUAUGUGAUGACCGUGCUCCGGUCAAGUCUAAAAUAUAUCAUUUGGUGAAAAUGCUUUCGAUAUAUAUAAUGCAGUUCAUAUCUACAGAAGUUCUUCCUUUUUCUUUGCUUAAUUGGACUGGCGAUGCAAAUUUUAGACAAGAUUAAGGAUGAGAACUAAGAUCCUUACUACUCUAGCUAGAGAUCCUAUAACUUACAAGAAACUAAUAAAACCCUAAACCCUAAACAUAAAUUAUUUUGUAAUUAAACAGUUUUUUCCCAGCAAAUGAGAAAGAAAAAACAUAAAUUAUACCGAUACCUUAUGCUCUUUUAUAUUUCCACGAAUUGUCUUCUCGCUUUCUCGCCUGAGCUUGAAGAGUUCGAACAUGAUAGGUUUCCAACAAAUACCAUCUUAGUUCGAAAUAUGCAUACCUGUAAUAUCAGCCCCUGACAUUACAGCAGUCAAUCAUCGUAAUAAACAAUGUAAAUGAAAUAGUAGUUGCUACUUGCCGGCAUUGCAGCUUGGUUUGUGGAUCAUAAUUAUUAAUUAUCGACCUAGUCUAGCGAAUUCACCAUGUCAAGUUUUACUUCAGAUUGUUUUGAACAUAGAUCAGGUCAAAUUCGAUCAAUUUGUUGUGCUGACUUGCAAUCUAGUUGAUCAUAAAUUUGAGUGAGAUUUUGAUUAGGUCAAUUUAAGAUUUUUUUUAAAAAAAACACAAACAAUAUUGUUUUAGAAGAAAAAAAAAUUAUUGACCCAGGUUGACUCGAUGAUCUAUGAAUUGACCUGACAACUCAAUGAUUAAGAUCUAAAAUCAAGUUAAAUUCUAAGUUGAGUGUUAAAAAAAAAGCUAAAACAUGAUGGAAAUAUACUGUAAAUAUACUUUGAAGUACAAUGGAUUCUAAUAGUGAAUUGACUAUUUUACCCUUAAAAAAUCACAAUCGUUUAAGAGGUAAAAUGAUCUUCUCACUUAGUUCAUCUGUUAUUCUAAAAUUAUUUAGGAGAAUCUCUGUAUUUUCAUGAUUUUUGUACAGUAACUCACUUUAUUGCCCUUAAAAAAAACAUUCAACUAUUGUUUAAGGGGCUUUUUUUUAUAUUUCAUGUUUUUUUACUACAGUGUAAUGAUUCUAUUAUUUUGAAUUAAAUUUUCAAAAGCUUGCCUACCUAGGGCUUAUCUUUCAUUUUAUAUUGUUUUUUUUAUAAUGAUUUUUUAUUUUUGAUCCUAGGGGUAAUGUAGUAUUUUCAUAAGCAAAAAAAAAAAAAUUGUGUGUGCUUUGCAAGCGCCGGUCACUCUGCUAUCUUUGAGCAACGUGUGCAACUGAUUUCGAUGGUGAAAAUCAUUCUCAUGUCGUGUCAUUCGAUUCAUCUCAGCCUUCUCUUUCUUCUCACAUAACGUGUAUGGUGAACAGACCUCCAAUAAAACACUGUCUACCUUUUGUUUUUUCCAUUUUUUUCUCUUUUCUCCUAGCAUUGGUGCAUCCAACGGUUCUGCUUUUUCCUGUGCAUUUGGUGCUUUUAGAAUGCUCAGUAUGAGAGCAAGGCUCUAGCAUUUUUGAAGCAUUAUCCUUUUUAACAGUCCCAGCAUUUCUAGUUGAAGCAGUUCCAUUCCUUGCUAUUGACUUCGGAAUCACAUCCUUACCUUCAAAAACUUCUUUAUGACAAGCAGCAUUUGGUGAUAAUCCCUUGGACAUUAGACCAACAGAAAAAUUAACAUUAAAAAGGAUGCCUAUUUUAAAAAAAGAAAAAAUCCAAAUUGCAGCAAAAGAGCACUGGGCACAAAUGCUACCUUUCAAGUCGCGACCACACUUCUAUGAGGAAUAAUAAAAAGGUUAUCUCAUCUGUCUCUAAAUAGCAUAUGCAACAGUCAUGAGUUUAUUUUCCUCUUUAUUUUAUUUUAUUCAUUUUGCAUGAAAAGUCUAUCAGUCAUAGAUUGAUAACUGAAAUGUCACUAGUAGGGCUAAACAUCUCAUGUGGUCCCUCUACUUCUCAAAUUUGAUCAAAUCAACCAUGUCCCUUAAAUUGGACCAAAUCAACUCCACUUCCAGUUACGGAUUUGAGAUCCUCCACUUGAUUACAUCAUAACAAGUGGCAUUUAAAUAGUAAUGGAAUUAGAGGAAGGGACUGGCAUCACCUUUACUUAGAGAAAAAGGGUUGAUUUGAUCUAUUUUGAAGUAAAAGGUUUGAUUUAACCAAAUUAAGAAAGUAGGAGGCUGCGUGUGAUUUGUAGCAAAUCACAAGCAGUAUAAGACAGUAAACGGGUUUUGGAUUCUACAAAGCAGAUAAAAGGGAAACCAAAACUUAUUCUUGAAAAUGAAGUCAGAAAUUAUAUUUAGCAAAAGAAGAGAACUCUGGAUCAGUUUUCCAUCUUAGGUAACAGUUUUACAAUUGCAAGACAAGAUCACAAAAAACUCCACUCAAAUCUCAUGCAGUUAUAGACAGGGAUAAGAAACAUACCAAAGGUUCCCCAGAAUGAUUGAAUAUGGUCUCAUUGAAUUAUUGAAUUAUUAUCAGGGAAAAUCUUCUUGCUCCUUUUAAUUCCUAUAACCAUCUUCAUUAUCUCUAUUUUUUCUUGAAUUACUCUAGUAUAAUAGAGGAGGAAAAAAAAUUCACCUUUGGACAUACCUGUUAGAGCCUUAUAUGAUGGAAACAGAGCAAGUGGCAGAGGACGAUUGCCAUGUCAGUAAUGGUGCAAGAAAGAUUCUCUUGGGAAAGUACGAGAUGGGGAGGUUGUUAGGACAAGGAACGUUUGCUAAGGUCUACAGAGGGAAGAAUCUUGUGACAAAAGAAAAUGUUGCAAUCAAAGUGUUGCACAAGGAUCAGGUCAAGAGGACAGGAUUAAUGGAGCAAAUCAAGAGAGAAAUCUCAAUUAUGAAUCUUGUGAAGCAUCCAAAUAUAGUGGAGUUGAAAGAAGUGAUGGCUACCAAAUCAAAGGUUUUCUUUGUAAUGGAGUUUGUGAAAGGUGGUGAGUUAUUUGCCAAAAUCAAGAAGGGAGGGCUGGAGGAAGAUCUUGCAAGAAAAUAUUUCCAGCAGUUGAUUUGUGCAGUUGAUUAUUGUCAUAGUCGUGGCGUUUCUCAUCGUGAUUUAAAGCCCGAAAACUUGCUUUUGGAUGACAAAGAAGACUUGAAAGUGUCCGAUUUCGGGUUUUCUGCUUUGCCUGAGCAGAAAUGGAACGAUGGUUUGCUGCACACACGGUGUGGCACCCCUGCAUAUGUGGCUCCAGAGGUUCUAAGAAAGAAGGGUUAUGAUGGUGCUAAAGCUGAUACCUGGUCUUGUGGCGUUAUUCUAUUCGUUCUGCUUUCAGGGCACUUGCCCUUUCGCAAUGAGAACGCCAUGAAGAUGUAUGUGAAGAUUUUAAAGGCUGAAUAUGAGUUCCCACCGUGGAUUUCCAGGGAUGCCAAGAGGUUGAUUUCC
Molecule: long non-coding RNA, 39129 nt
Filed under: Populus tremula
Lineage: Eukaryota; Viridiplantae; Streptophyta; Magnoliopsida; Malpighiales; Salicaceae
Description: long non-coding RNA (PTRE_LNC001941)
Source: RNAcentral